AGUAACGCGUGGAUAACCUGCCUUGCACUGGGGGAUAACACUUAGAAAUAGGUGCUAAUACCGCAUAAGCGCACAGAGCCGCAUGGCUCAGUGUGAAAAACUCCGGUGGUGUAAGAUGGAUCCGCGUCUGAUUAGCUGGUUGGCGGGGUAGAAGCCCACCAAGGCGACGAUCAGUAGCCGGCCGGAGAGGGUGAACGGCCACAUUGGGACUGAGACACGGCCCAAACUCCUACGGGAGGCAGCAG
RNAcentral lists this ribosomal RNA (245 nucleotides) under uncultured bacterium. RNAcentral's name for it is "partial 16S ribosomal RNA". It matches the Rfam family "Bacterial small subunit ribosomal RNA", at positions 109 to 354 of the family's 1533-position model. The record is from RNAcentral.